UUGAAUCUUCUAAAGAUCCAUAUUUAACCGGUUCAUGAGCUUGUUCAAACCUCUUAACUAAACAUGGCAAAUACUACUUCUUGAAAAGCUUUAGCUGUGCUUCGUUCUUAAUGCUUGAAACUAAGAGGCUCAAGCUUUUUAUUCAAUAUUCAUUUAUUCAGAGAAUUUAUUCUAAAAAGAUUACAAAUGAACUAUAUAUUAUGAUGGUUUCAGUUGUCGUAUUUAGCAUCAUAUGAAUUGGGAUCAGCCUCAACAACUGUAUUGUCAGUUGCCGUCAAGUGAAG
This 284-nucleotide unclassified non-coding RNA is filed under the name Hevea brasiliensis (rubber tree). Lineage: Eukaryota; Viridiplantae; Streptophyta; Magnoliopsida; Malpighiales; Euphorbiaceae. The record is from RNAcentral.